RNAcentral lists this ribosomal RNA (424 nucleotides) under uncultured prokaryote. Its description in RNAcentral is "bacterial SSU rRNA". It matches the Rfam family "Bacterial small subunit ribosomal RNA", at positions 355 to 774 of the family's 1533-position model. The record is from RNAcentral.
UUAAGAAUCUUGCACAAUGGGGGCAACCCUGAUGCAGCGACGCCGCGUGGAUGAUGAAGGCCUUCGGGUUGUAAAGUCCGGUAAGCAGGGAAGAAUAAGCAACGGGUAAUAUUCGUUGUGAUGACGGUACCUGCCUAAAGCCCCGGCUAACUACGUGCCAGCAGCCGCGGUAAUACGUAUGGGGUAAGCGUUGUUCGGAAUUAUUGGGCAUAAAGGGCGUCUAGGCGGGGGAUUAAGUUAGAUGUGAAAGCCAUGGGCUCAACCCAUGAACUGCAUCUAAGACUGGUUCUCUUGAGUUCGGGAGAGGAGAGCGGAAUUCCAGGUGUAGCGGUGAAAUGCGUAGAUAUCUGGAAGAACACCAGUGGCGAAGGCGGCUCUCUGGCCUAGAACUGACGCUGAAGCGCGAAAGCGUGGGGAGCGAACA